CUGAGUUUGAAAUUGAAAAAUUUCAUCUCCCACCCUUUGUUUAUAAGACCUGUUGCUUCGGCGAGAUUGAUGAUUUUAUAUCAUCGGUUGAUUGAAUCUAUUCAAUGAACUUUGCUUGCCGAAGUUUUUUAUAACACUUUUUUUCUUGAUAUUCGAGUUUAAAAAACAAAAAAUUA
RNAcentral lists this unclassified non-coding RNA (176 nucleotides) under uncultured Dothideomycetes. RNAcentral's name for it is "sequence contains ITS1". Lineage: Eukaryota; Fungi; Ascomycota; Dothideomycetes. The record is from RNAcentral.